UCUAUCAGCCGGUCGUCGCUCUGUUUUUACAAGCAGGGAGGAAAGUCCGGACAGCAAAGGGCAACACACCGGUUAAGCGCCGGCUCUUUUGCCGCAGGGUAAAAGAAGAGACAGUGCCACAGAAAAUAACUACUCCUGCAAAGGAGAAAAGGUGAAAACGUGAGGUAAGAGCUCACGGCUCCGGCAGGUAACUGCAGGGGCGGGUAAACCUUGUGUGCUGUAAUGCCACGUAUACCAGCGUUUGAGGGCGGCCCGUCCGAGUUGGAGGGUAGGCAGCAAGAUCCAUUCAGCAAUGGGUGGGCAAGAUAAAUGAUGACCGUUCCGGUGCAAAUCGGGAUAACAGAAUCCGGCUUAUGGCUGAUAGAUUUU
RNAcentral lists this RNase P RNA (369 nucleotides) under Chitinophagaceae bacterium. Its description in RNAcentral is "RNase P RNA component class A". It matches the Rfam family "Bacterial RNase P class A". From Rfam's summary of the family: Ribonuclease P (RNase P) is a ubiquitous endoribonuclease, found in archaea, bacteria and eukarya as well as chloroplasts and mitochondria. Its best characterised activity is the generation of mature 5'-ends of tRNAs by cleaving the 5'-leader elements of precursor-tRNAs. Cellular RNase Ps are ribonucleoproteins. Lineage: Bacteria; Pseudomonadati; Bacteroidota; Chitinophagia; Chitinophagales; Chitinophagaceae. The record is from RNAcentral.